This 148-nucleotide non-coding RNA is filed under the name Homo sapiens (human). Lineage: Eukaryota; Metazoa; Chordata; Mammalia; Primates; Hominidae. The record is from Rfam by way of RNAcentral.
GCCGGGUGUGGUGGUGGGCGCCUGUAAUCCCAGCUACUCGGGAGGCUGAGGCAGGAGAAUCACUUGAACUCGGGAGGUGGAGGUUGCAGUGAGCCGAGACCACACCACUGCACUGCAACCUGGGUAACAGAGUGAGACUCUGUCUCCA